CCUACGGGUGGCAGCAGUGGGGAAUAUUGGGCAAUGGGCGCAAGCCUGACCCAGCAACGCCGCGUGAAGGAAGAAGGCUUUCGGGUUGUAAACUUCUUUUCUCAGGGACGAAGCAAGUGACGGUACCUGAGGAAUAAGCCACGGCUAACUACGUGCCAGCAGCCGCGGUAAUACGUUGGUGGCAAGCGUUAUCCGGAUUUACGUGCGGUAAAGGACGUGUAGGCGGGACUGCAAGUCAGAUGUGAAAACCACGGGCUCAAACUGUGGCCUGCAUUUGAAACUGUAGUUCUUGAGGACUGGAGAGGCAGACGGAAUUCCUAGUGUAGCGGUGAAAUGCGUAGAUAUUAGGAGGAACACCAGUGGCGAAGGCGGUAUGCUGGACAGCAACUGACGCUGAGGCGCGAAAGCGUGGGGAGCAAACAGGAUUAGAUACCCCUGUAGUC
Molecule: ribosomal RNA, 443 nt
Filed under: uncultured bacterium
Lineage: Bacteria
Description: partial 16S ribosomal RNA
Rfam family: Bacterial small subunit ribosomal RNA
Source: RNAcentral